This is a long non-coding RNA of Gossypium raimondii (Peruvian cotton), 985 nucleotides long. RefSeq lists it as uncharacterized. Lineage: Eukaryota; Viridiplantae; Streptophyta; Magnoliopsida; Malvales; Malvaceae. The transcript is spliced from 2 exons. The record is from RefSeq and is a predicted model, not a curated record.
AAAAGAUAGCAACAACUUCCAAGAAAUCUCCUUCUUUGCUUUCUUUUACCGUUUCAUUUUUUCUUCCUCGUCUCUCUUCAAUCUGGAUUUUGUGCUCGUCUUUCUUCUGGAACUAUCAGGUAUACCUCUUCCCCUUUUGUAAGUGCAUCUUUUGCGAGAAUAUGAGCUUGGCCAUUUUCUGUUCUUUGAAUAAAUCUGAAAGCAAUUUCCUGAAAACGAGAUCUAUUACUCUGAAUAUCAUGAAUAAUCGCCCCGAUAACAGAUUUGUCCCUUGUUGUUGAUUGACAUUUAUGAAUAACUGUUUUCGAAUCCCCCAUAAUCGUGACUGAUUCUAUCCCCAUGCUGAUACCUAACUUGGUUGCCUCCAAACAUGCAUAUGCUUCGGCAACAAACGGAGAUGAAAUGUUGAAGUGCAAAGUUGACUUUGAGGCUCUAAUCGCACCAUCUUGAUCCCGAACAACUAUUCCUGACGCCGAUCUAAAGUUCCUGAUAUCAAAGGCUGCAUCAAACUGUAUUAUCUCCCUUGAUGUAUCUCUGCCUCGUCCUGCAGCUUCAGUAGACGCGUGAGAAAUCCUACUUCCCCUACUUCCUUCAAGUUCUAUUAGAUAACUCUGUAUUUUUUGUGAAAGGUCUAAUCCUGAUAUGGCUUUCUUCUCAUGUAUAAUCUGAUUCCGCGAGCCCCAUAAAACCCAUAGAGCACAACAAAACAAUCGAGUCUGCUCCUUUGUUCCUUUAUCAAAGACCCAGGACAUUUUCGAAACACAUGAUGGCUAUCUUCCUCCUCAGAUUCGCAACGAGGGCAUCUGGAGUUUGCAGUUACUCUUUUAUAUUUCAGAUUAGCCAGGGAUGGGAUAUAGUUCCAGGAAAUCCUCCAUACAAGGAUUAAAAUCUUUUGUGGUAGUUGUAAAUUCCAUAGGUUCUUGUAAAAUUCUUUAGUUUUGGUCUGUACUAAAUAACUAUUAGGCUCCAGACUAGCUUCUUGUAA